Molecule: long non-coding RNA, 223 nt
Filed under: Bos taurus (domestic cattle)
Lineage: Eukaryota; Metazoa; Chordata; Mammalia; Artiodactyla; Bovidae
Description: long non-coding RNA NONBTAT013818
Source: RNAcentral
CCCCCAACUUCACUUCUGAUAAAUAGGAGUGCUAUUGCAAAGGGUGACCUCUCAAUCCAAGAAGGGUAAAGAGAGAGGUAAUGAAAUUACAUCAAAAUUAAAUAAGAAUUUUCCCUAAAGGACAUUCUUCAGUUUGAUGAUUACUUUAGCCCGAAAGAGUUUUAAACAGGGGAAGUAAGCCUCCCAAUCAAUUCAAUGAAAAAAGAAUAUGGCAGCUCUUUAC